This 253-nucleotide ribosomal RNA is filed under the name uncultured bacterium. RNAcentral's name for it is "partial 16S ribosomal RNA". It matches the Rfam family "Bacterial small subunit ribosomal RNA", at positions 524 to 776 of the family's 1533-position model. The record is from RNAcentral.
UACGUAGGGUGCAAGCGUUAAUCGGAAUUACUGGGCGUAAAGCGUGCGCAGGCGGUUGUGCAAGUCAGAUGUGAAAUCCCCGGGCUCAACCUGGGAAUUGCAUUUGUGACUGCACGGCUAGAGUGUGUCAGAGGGGGGUAGAAUUCCACGUGUAGCAGUGAAAUGCGUAGAGAUGUGGAGGAAUACCGAUGGCGAAGGCAGCCCCCUGGGAUAAAACUGACGCUCAUGCACGAAAGCGUGGGGAGCAAACAGG